UUAAGUUAUUAAGGGCGCACGGUGGAUGCCUUGGCACUAGAAGCCGAUGAAGGACGUUACUAACGACGAUAUGCUUUGGGGAGCUGUAAGUAAGCUUUGAUCCAGAGAUUUCCGAAUGGGGAAACCCAGCAUGAGUUAUGUCAUGUUAUCGAUAUGUGAAUACAUAGCAUAUCAGAAGGCACACCCGGAGAACUGAAACAUCUUAGUACCCGGAGGAAGAGAAAGAAAAUUCGAUUCCCUUAGUAGCGGCGAGCGAAACGGGAAGAGCCCAAACCAACAAGCUUGCUUGUUGGGGUUGUAGGACACUCUAUACGGAGUUACAAAGGACGACAUUAGACGAAUCAUCUGGAAAGAUGAAUCAAAGAAGGUAAUAAUCCUGUAGUCGAAAAUGUUGUCUCUCUUGAGUGGAUCCUGAGUAAGACGGAGCACGUGAAAUUCCGUCGGAAUCUGGGAGGACCAUCUCCUAAGGCUAAAUACUCUCUAGUGACCGAUAGUGAACCAGUACCGUGAGGGAAAGGUGAAAAGCACCCCGGAAGGGGAGUGAAAUAGAACCUGAAACCGUGUGCUUACAAGUAGUCAGAGCCCGUUAAUGGGUGAUGGCGUGCCUUUUGUAGAAUGAACCGGCGAGUUACGAUUUGAUGCAAGGUUAAGCAGUAAAUGUGGAGCCGUAGCGAAAGCGAGUCUGAAUAGGGCGUUUAGUAUUUGGUCGUAGACCCGAAACCAGGUGAUCUACCCUUGGUCAGGUUGAAGUUCAGGUAACACUGAAUGGAGGACCGAACCGACUUACGUUGAAAAGUGAGCGGAUGAACUGAGGGUAGCGGAGAAAUUCCAAUCGAACCUGGAGAUAGCUGGUUCUCUCCGAAAUAGCUUUAGGGCUAGCCUCAAGUGAUGAUUAUUGGAGGUAGAGCACUGUUUGGACGAGGGGCCCCUCUCGGGUUACCGAAUUCAGACAAACUCCGAAUGCCAAUUAAUUUAACUUGGGAGUCAGAACAUGGGUGAUAAGGUCCGUGUUCGAAAGGGAAACAGCCCAGACCACCAGCUAAGGUCCCAAAAUAUAUGUUAAGUGGAAAAGGAUGUGGCGUUGCCCAGACAACUAGGAUGUUGGCUUAGAAGCAGCCAUCAUUUAAAGAGUGCGUAAUAGCUCACUAGUCGAGUGACACUGCGCCGAAAAUGUACCGGGGCUAAACAUAUUACCGAAGCUGUGGAUUGUCCUUUGGACAAUGGUAGGAGAGCGUUCUAAGGGCGUUGAAGCAUGAUCGUAAGGACAUGUGGAGCGCUUAGAAGUGAGAAUGCCGGUGUGAGUAGCGAAAGACGGGUGAGAAUCCCGUCCACCGAUUGACUAAGGUUUCCAGAGGAAGGCUCGUCCGCUCUGGGUUAGUCGGGUCCUAAGCUGAGGCCGACAGGCGUAGGCGAUGGAUAACAGGUUGAUAUUCCUGUACCACCUAUAAUCGUUUUAAUCGAUGGGGGGACGCAGUAGGAUAGGCGAAGCGUGCGAUUGGAUUGCACGUCUAAGCAGUAAGGCUGAGUAUUAGGCAAAUCCGGUACUCGUUAAGGCUGAGCUGUGAUGGGGAGAAGACAUUGAGUCUUCGAGUCGUUGAUUUCACACUGCCGAGAAAAGCCUCUAGAUAGAAAAUAGGUGCCCGUACCGCAAACCGACACAGGUAGUCAAGAUGAGAAUUCUAAGGUGAGCGAGCGAACUCUCGUUAAGGAACUCGGCAAAAUGACCCCGUAACUUCGGGAGAAGGGGUGCUCUUUAGGGUUAACGCCCAGAAGAGCCGCAGUGAAUAGGCCCAAGCGACUGUUUAUCAAAAACACAGGUCUCUGCUAAACCGUAAGGUGAUGUAUAGGGGCUGACGCCUGCCCGGUGCUGGAAGGUUAAGAGGAGUGGUUAGCUUCUGCGAAGCUACGAAUCGAAGCCCCAGUAAACGGCGGCCGUAACUAUAACGGUCCUAAGGUAGCGAAAUUCCUUGUCGGGUAAGUUCCGACCCGCACGAAAGGCGUAACGAUUUGGGCACUGUCUCAACGAGAGACUCGGUGAAAUCAUAGUACCUGUGAAGAUGCAGGUUACCCGCGACAGGACGGAAAGACCCCGUGGAGCUUUACUGUAGCCUGAUAUUGAAAUUCGGCACAGCUUGUACAGGAUAGGUAGGAGCCUUUGAAACGUGAGCGCUAGCUUACGUGGAGGCGCUGGUGGGAUACUACCCUAGCUGUGUUGGCUUUCUAACCCGCACCACUUAUCGUGGUGGGAGACAGUGUCAGGCGGGCAGUUUGACUGGGGCGGUCGCCUCCUAAAAGGUAACGGAGGCGCUCAAAGGUUCCCUCAGAAUGGUUGGAAAUCAUUCAUAGAGUGUAAAGGCAUAAGGGAGCUUGACUGCGAGACCUACAAGUCGAGCAGGGUCGAAAGACGGACUUAGUGAUCCGGUGGUUCCGCAUGGAAGGGCCAUCGCUCAACGGAUAAAAGCUACCCCGGGGAUAACAGGCUUAUCUCCCCCAAGAGUUCACAUCGACGGGGAGGUUUGGCACCUCGAUGUCGGCUCAUCGCAUCCUGGGGCUGUAGUCGGUCCCAAGGGUUGGGCUGUUCGCCCAUUAAAGCGGUACGCGAGCUGGGUUCAGAACGUCGUGAGACAGUUCGGUCCCUAUCCGUCGUGGGCGUAGGAAAUUUGAGAGGAGCUGUCCUUAGUACGAGAGGACCGGGAUGGACAUACCUCUGGUGUACCAGUUGUCGUGCCAACGGCAUAGCUGGGUAGCUAUGUGUGGACGGGAUAAGUGCUGAAAGCAUCUAAGCAUGAAGCCCCCCUCAAGAUGAGAUUUCCCAACUUCGGUUAUAAGAUCCCUCAAAGAUGAUGAGGUUAAUAGGUUCGAGGUGGAAGCAUGGUGACAUGUGGAGCUGACGAAUACUAAUCGAUCGAAGACUUAAUCAA
RNAcentral lists this ribosomal RNA (2921 nucleotides) under Staphylococcus aureus M1466. RNAcentral's name for it is "bacterial LSU rRNA". It matches the Rfam family "Bacterial large subunit ribosomal RNA". Lineage: Bacteria; Bacillati; Bacillota; Bacilli; Caryophanales; Staphylococcaceae. RNAcentral also lists the same sequence under 2 other names. The record is from RNAcentral.